UAAUACGAAGGGGGCGAGCGUUGUUCGGAUUUACUGGGCGUAAAGGGCGCGUAGGCGGCCAUCUUUGUCAGGCGUGAAAGCCCCGGGCUCAACCUGGGAACUGCGUCUGGGACGGGGUGGCUAGAGAUCGGGAGAGGAGCGUGGAAUUCCCAGUGUAGAGGUGAAAUUCGUAGAUAUUGGGAAGAACACCGGUGGCGAAGGCGGCGCUCUGGACCGAGACUGACGCUGAGGCGCGAAAGCGUGGGGAGCAAACAGGAUUAGAUACCCUGGUAGUCCACGCUGUAAACGAUGUGUGCUAGACGUUGGGGAGCCUAGCUCUUCGGUGUCGCAGCUAACGCUUUAAGCACACCGCCUGGGGAGUACGGCCGCAAGGUUA
This 376-nucleotide ribosomal RNA is filed under the name uncultured bacterium. RNAcentral describes it as "bacterial SSU rRNA". It matches the Rfam family "Bacterial small subunit ribosomal RNA", at positions 521 to 896 of the family's 1533-position model. The record is from RNAcentral.